Molecule: ribosomal RNA, 495 nt
Filed under: uncultured bacterium
Lineage: Bacteria
Description: partial 16S ribosomal RNA
Rfam family: Bacterial small subunit ribosomal RNA
Source: RNAcentral
GACGAACGCUGGCGGCGUGCCUAAUACAUGCAAGUAGAACGCUGAAGGAGGAGCUUGCUUCUCUGGAUGAGUUGCGAACGGGUGAGUAACGCGUAGGUAACCUGCCUGGUAGCGGGGGAUAACUAUUGGAAACGAUAGCUAAUACCGCAUAAGAUUGACUAUUGCAUGAUAGUCAGUUAAAAGGUGCAAUUGCAUCACUACCAGAUGGACCUGCGUUGUAUUAGCUAGUUGGUGGGGUAACGGCUCACCAAGGCGACGAUACAUAGCCGACCUGCGAGGGUGAUCGGCCGCCCUGGGACUGAGACACGGCCCAGACUGCUACGGGAGGCAGCAGUAGGGAAUCUGCGGCAAUGGACGGAAGUCUGACCGAGCAACGCGGCGGGAGUGAAGAAGGUUGUCGGAUCGUAAAGCUCUGUUGUAAGAGAAGAACGAGUGUGAGAGUGGAAAGUUCACACUGUGACGGUAUCUUACCAGAAAGAGACGGCUAACUACGUG